This 2341-nucleotide ribosomal RNA is filed under the name Listeria monocytogenes. RNAcentral describes it as "bacterial LSU rRNA". It matches the Rfam family "Bacterial large subunit ribosomal RNA", at positions 591 to 2925 of the family's 2925-position model. The record is from RNAcentral. Lineage: Bacteria; Bacillati; Bacillota; Bacilli; Caryophanales; Listeriaceae.
GGGUGAUAGCGUGCCUUUUGUAGAAUGAACCGGCGAGUUACGAUUUGUUGCAAGGUUAAGCGGAAAAAGCGGAGCCGUAGCGAAAGCGAGUCUGAAUAGGGCGCAUAAGUAACAGGUCGUAGACCCGAAACCAGGUGAUCUACCCAUGUCCAGGAUGAAGGUAAGGUAAUACUUACUGGAGGUCCGAACCCACGCACGUUGAAAAGUGCGGGGAUGAGGUGUGGGUAGCGGAGAAAUUCCAAUCGAACUUGGAGAUAGCUGGUUCUCUCCGAAAUAGCUUUAGGGCUAGCCUCGAGGUAAAGAGUCAUGGAGGUAGAGCACUGUUUGGACUAGGGGCCCUUCUCGGGUUACCGAAUUCAGAUAAACUCCGAAUGCCAUGUACUUAUACUCGGGAGUCAGACUGCGAGUGAUAAGAUCCGUAGUCGAAAGGGAAACAGCCCAGACCACCAGUUAAGGUCCCCAAAUAUAUGUUAAGUGGAAAAGGAUGUGGGGUUGCUUAGACAACCAGGAUGUUGGCUUAGAAGCAGCCACCAUUGAAAGAGUGCGUAAUAGCUCACUGGUCGAGUGACCCCGCGCCGAAAAUGUACCGGGGCUAAACAUAUUACCGAAACUGUGGAUGAACCUCUUUAGAGGUUCGUGGUAGGAGAGCGUUCUAAGGGCGGUGAAGUCAGACCGGAAGGACUGGUGGAGCGCUUAGAAGUGAGAAUGCCGGUAUGAGUAGCGAAAGAAGGGUGAGAAUCCCUUCCACCGAAUAUCUAAGGUUUCCUGAGGAAGGCUCGUCCGCUCAGGGUUAGUCGGGACCUAAGCCGAGGCCGAUAGGCGUAGGCGAUGGACAACAGGUAGAGAUUCCUGUACCAGUGCUAAUUGUUUAACCGAUGGGGUGACACAGAAGGAUAGGGAAUCGCACGAAUGGAAAUGUGCGUCCAAGCAGUGAGUGUGAGAAGUAGGCAAAUCCGCUUCUCGCGAAGCAUGAGCUGUGAUGGGGAAGGAAAUUAAGUACGGAAGUUCCUGAUUUCACGCUGUCAAGAAAAGCCUCUAGGAAGAGUAGUACUGCCCGUACCGCAAACCGACACAGGUAGAUGAGGAGAGAAUCCUAAGGUGAGCGAGAGAACUCUCGUUAAGGAACUCGGCAAAAUGACCCCGUAACUUCGGGAGAAGGGGUGCUCUAUUAGGGUGCAAGCCCGAGAGAGCCGCAGUGAAUAGGCCCAGGCGACUGUUUAGCAAAAACACAGGUCUCUGCAAAACCGUAAGGUGACGUAUAGGGGCUGACGCCUGCCCGGUGCUGGAAGGUUAAGAGGAGUGCUUAGCUUCGGCGAAGGUACGAAUUGAAGCCCCAGUAAACGGCGGCCGUAACUAUAACGGUCCUAAGGUAGCGAAAUUCCUUGUCGGGUAAGUUCCGACCCGCACGAAAGGCGCAACGAUCUGGGCACUGUCUCAACGAGAGACUCGGUGAAAUUAUAGUACCUGUGAAGAUGCAGGUUACCCGCGACAGGACGGAAAGACCCCGUGGAGCUUUACUGCAACCUGAUAUGGAAUGUUUGUACCGCUUGUACAGGAUAGGUAGGAGCCGAAGAGACGUGUGCGCUAGCAUACGAGGAGGCAAUGGUGGGAUACUACCCUGGCUGUAUGACCAUUCUAACCCGCCACGCUUAGCGCGUGGGGAGACAGUGUCAGGUGGGCAGUUUGACUGGGGCGGUCGCCUCCUAAAGAGUAACGGAGGCGCCCAAAGGUUCCCUCAGAAUGGAUGGAAAUCAUUCGCAGAGUGUAAAGGCACAAGGGAGCUUGACUGCGAGACUGACAAGUCGAGCAGGGACGAAAGUCGGGCUUAGUGAUCCGGUGGUUCCGCAUGGAAGGGCCAUCGCUCAACGGAUAAAAGCUACCCCGGGGAUAACAGGCUUAUCUCCCCCAAGAGUCCACAUCGACGGGGAGGUUUGGCACCUCGAUGUCGGCUCGUCGCAUCCUGGGGCUGUAGUCGGUCCCAAGGGUUGGGCUGUUCGCCCAUUAAAGCGGCACGCGAGCUGGGUUCAGAACGUCGUGAGACAGUUCGGUCCCUAUCCGUCGCGGGCGCAGGAAAUUUGAGAGGAGCUGUCCUUAGUACGAGAGGACCGGGAUGGACACACCGCUGGUGUACCAGUUGUUCCGCCAGGAGCAUCGCUGGGUAGCUAUGUGUGGCAGGGAUAAACGCUGAAAGCAUCUAAGCGUGAAGCCCCCCUCAAGAUGAGAUUUCCCAUUUCUUCGGAAAGUAAGAUCCCUGAAAGAUGAUCAGGUAGAUAGGUUUGGAGUGGAAGUGUAGCGAUACAUGGAGCGGACAAAUACUAAUCGAUCGAGGACUUAACCAAAA